Molecule: ribosomal RNA, 388 nt
Filed under: uncultured eukaryote
Lineage: Eukaryota
Description: partial 18S ribosomal RNA
Rfam family: Eukaryotic small subunit ribosomal RNA
Source: RNAcentral
CAAUAGCGUAUAUUAAAGUUGUUGCAGUUAAAAAGCUCGUAGUUGGAUUUCUGAUCGAGACAUAAGGUCGGGUCCGAGAGGAUCAUGUACUUUGAUUUUGUUUUGAUCAUCCUUGGGGAGAGCAUUUCUGGCAUUCAGUUGUCGGGAUUGGGAUCCUCAUCGUUUACUGUGAAAAAAUUAGAGUGUUCAAAGCAGGCCUCGGCCUCUGAAUACAUUAGCAUGGAAUAAUAAGAUAGGACUUUGGUGGUCUAUUUUGUUGGUUUGCACGCCAAAGUAAUGAUUAAUAGGGAUAGUUGGGGGUAUUCGUAUUCAAUUGUCAGAGGUGAAAUUCUUGGAUUUAUGGAAGACGAACUACUGCGAAAGCAUUUACCAAGGAUGUUUUCAUUAA